RNAcentral lists this ribosomal RNA (1314 nucleotides) under Triticum aestivum (bread wheat). Its description in RNAcentral is "partial small subunit ribosomal RNA". Lineage: Eukaryota; Viridiplantae; Streptophyta; Magnoliopsida; Poales; Poaceae. The record is from RNAcentral.
CCUCACCUCUUCUAUUCCCCCAAGUCGCGCCCCCAAAUCAGGCAGCCUUCCACCCCCGAUCCCAUCGGCCGCCGACCACCCUUCACCGCUCCCGACCUCAACGGCAGUCGAUAACCCUCCGCCAUCCCCGACCCUAGCCUCACCCUCCACCGUCCCCAAACCCCUACCGCACCCGGCUUCCUUCCCGACCACCGUGGCCGGCUAGGGUUUGAUGCCGUCGGUCCUCCUGGUCGUUCUCCGGUUGGUGGCUAGAGGAAACGGCUUCCACCCUCCUUCUAAAGCAUGUGAGCACGGAUCUGGCUCCUCCCACCGUUCAUUCCUCUCUCCUGCUUGGAGCCGCCUGUGACCACGGAUCUGGCUCUCCUCCACCAGCGGCGACUGGGAUGGCGCGGAUCCACCUCUUCUCCACAAGCCCCAGCCGAGACGACGUGGAUUCGCAUCUCCUCCUCCCUCCCCGCUAUGGCCGCCUUUAUCCGUUGCACCCCCGCCUUGCAGCUCCGCUUCUGGACGGAGAUUUGGAGGAGUACCCGCCACUCACAGUGGCUUCAAGCCUUCUUCCCAACUGGCCCCAGAGGCACAACAUUAAGGGUGCAAGCUCGACUGAUUCAACGGUCUGCCUUGGCGUGAUGGCUCCCCGUCAACAACUAGGUUGACCAUGGCCUAUGCUAGCUUCAGUUUUCCCCCCUGUUCCAGUCUGCUGGAAGUUCUCUGCUGCCUCCCCAAGACGCUGGUAGGUCACCUCCAUCGAUGCUCUCUCCGCCGCUUCCACAAGCCGCCAGACUGUACAAUUCUGCAAGGAAAAAGAAUGGAAAAGGAAGAGAAGAAGACAAUGCUGAAGCACAAGAGCAAGAGAGGCUAGCUAUACUUAAAGCAAGGAACAGUGAGGAUUUUGAAUGAUUUGGGUCCUUCACAUUUUCAAAUCUAAAAGAAGAUUUUGGAGGCCGAGCCAGUCAGCGACAAAAUAAAAGGAAGAAGGUUUCUCAAAGAUUGACAAGUUGAUGGAGGUUUGGAAGAACUACAGGCUGACGAAGAUUAUGAACGCCUACAGUUAAGUCGGUGUAGUGAUAAUGUAAUAUGCCUUGUUUGUUGAACCCGGAUACUUGCUCUGCUCAAUUUGUUGGUUGUUAAGUCAAUGUAUGCUCAUGUUGGUUGUGUGGUGCAUUAAGAAAUAAAUGUGUUUCUCCUUUUUUGGCACAACUUCAGCUUGGUUGUGUGGUACACCUAAAAACAAAUGUAUGCACUUCUUUUGUGGCACAACGUCUUUGUAUAUGAUUGCUAUGAUUAUUGAAUGAAGUUCAAGAUUUUUGAUGAGGC